UAGCAUGAGUUUGUUGGGCCAACAUUGGCUGUAGGUUGUAAGGUUGGCGUUGGCUUAACAACGUUGGGCCAACAUUGGACCAAUGUACACUUGACACAUCUAACUUGAGUGUCAAUGUUAGUUGGGAACGCAACGUUGGGCCAACAUCAGGCCAAUGUACACUUGACACAUCUAACUUGAGUGUCAAUGUUAGUUGGGAACACAGCGUUGGGCCAACAUUGGGCCAAUGUACACUUGACACAACUAACUUGAGUGUCAAUGUUAGUUGGGAACGCAACGUUGGGCCAACAUUGGGCCAAUGUACACUUGACACAACUAACUUGAGUGUCAAUGUUAGUUGGGAACGCAACGUUGGGCCAACAUUGGGCCAAUGUACACUUGACACAUCUAACUUGAGUGUCAAUGUUAGUUGGGAACACAGCGUUGGGCCAACAUUGGGCCAAUGUACACUUGACACAACUAACUUGAGUGUCAAUGUUAGUUGGGAACGCAACGUUGGGCCAACAUUGGGCCAAUGUACACUUGACACAUCUAACUUAAAUUGAGUGUCAAUGUUAGUUGGGAACGCAACGUUGGGCAAACAUUAGGCCAAUGCACACUUGACACAUCUAAUUUGAGUGUCAAUGUUACUUGGGAACGCAACUUCGGGCCAACAUUUUGGGUCAAUGUUGUAAAUUUACAAUCAAUGUCAGUUGAGACAUGAUAUCGGCCCAACAAUGAUCCAACGUCUAUUAAUUACAUUUUUUAUUUCCUGAUUAGUUUGUUGGUCGAUUACAUUUAUAAAAACACGCAUACCUUUUCAACAGUGGUUAUAUGUUUAUACAUCUCUUUUUAUUAUUCUUUUUACAAUGUUUUGAGAUAGAAUCAUUACUAAAAGCUAAAUAUACUGUCAAUAGUUACAUGUACAUACUCUUUAUAAAAGGAAACAUGUUUAAAAAUGCAAGUUUAAUUUUUAUUCUUUUAAAGAAGCUUAAAAUUGUGAAAGCCCAAAAUUAAAAUGAAGAUAUUCUGCAAAUGUAUUCAGCUGCAUAAUAUUGUUCUAAAGUGUAGAAUUUAAGUUGCCGAUCCUGAGAUAAGAGAAUAGCACAUUCACUGACCAAGCAAUUAAGACAGAGUUUUCUCAGCGUGAGACUGGCCAGUUUCCAUGGUUAUUGUGAUAUCUGAUCUGUUGGGAUGGCCAAAUCUGCUCCCAUUUAACAUUUUGUAGGACAUAUCUAAACAGUUUGCUCAAUGUAUAGCCACAGUCAAGUGAAUAAAACAGAAAUGGAAUAUGUUCAAGCUGCCCCCUUCCAGUCUGACGAACUUUCAACUGACUUCGAAAUUUGAUGUUUUUGAAAACCGGUGUUUUAUUUGGAUGACUAUGAACAGUUGAAGAUAUAAAUGAAGCAAAACAUACAGAAGAGAGUGAAUUAUUACUUUAUUCUAUUUUGGAGUAACUAAGUUUAAAAAGUGUGGAUAGAGAUUUACCCUGUGAACAUAUGCUAGCUAGAUAACGAACGGCCGUCAUUUAAUUUCAAGGAUUAUUUUUAUCAUGGUUUGUGCACUCUGGAUUCAAAAUAAAUCCAUCAUAUAAAUUGU
Magallana angulata is the source of this 1578-nucleotide long non-coding RNA. RefSeq lists it as uncharacterized. NCBI's taxonomy places the organism in Eukaryota, Metazoa, Mollusca, Bivalvia, Ostreida, Ostreidae. The record is from RefSeq and is a predicted model, not a curated record. The transcript has 2 exons.